UGGGGGAUAACGUAGGGAAACUUUCGCUAAUACCGCAUACGACCUACGGGUGAAAGCGGAGGACCUUCGGGCUUCGCGCGAUUGAAUGAGCCGAUGUCGGAUUAGCUAGUUGGCGGGGUAAAGGCCCACCAAGGCGACGAUCCGUAGCUGGUCUGAGGGGAUGAUCAGCCACACUGGAACUGAGACACGGUCCAGACUCCUACGGGAGGCAGCAGUGGGGAAUAUUGGACAAUGGGCGCAAGCCUGAUCCAGCCAUGCCGCGUGGGUGAAGAAGGCCUUCGGGUUGUAAAGCCCUUUAGUUGGGAAAGAAAAGCAGUCGGUUAAUACCCGAUUGUUCUGACGGUACCCAAAGAAUAAGCACCGGCUAACUUCGUGCCAGCGCCGCGGUAAUACGAAGGGUGCAAGCGUUACUCGGUUUUACUGGGCGUAAAGCGUGCGUAGGUGGUGGUUUAAGUCUGUUGUGAAAGCCCUGGGGUCAACCUGGGAAUUGCAGUGGAUACUGGGUCACUAGAGUGUGGUAGAGGGUAGCGGAAUUCCCGGUGUAGCAGUGAAAUGCGUAGAGAUCGGGAGGAACAUCAGUGGCGAAGGCGGCUACCUGGACCAACACUGACACUGAGGCACGAAAGCGUGGGGAGCAAACAGGAUUAGAUACCCUGGUAGUCCACGCCCUAAACGAUGCGAACUGGAUGUUGGGUGCAAUUUGGCACGCAGUAUCGAAGCUAACGCGUUAAGUUCGCCGCCUGGGGAGUACGGUCGCAAGACUGAAACUCAAAGGAAUUGACGGGGGCCCGCACAAGCGGAGGAGUAUGUGGUUUAAUUCGAUGCAACGCGAAGAACCUUACCUGGUCUUGACAUCCACGGAACUUUCCAGAGAUGGAUUGGUGCCUUCGGGAACCGUGAGACAGGUGCUGCAUGGCUGUCGUCCGCUCGUGUCGUGAGAUGUUGGGUUAAGUCCCGCAACGAGCGCAACCCUUGUCCUUAGUUGCCAGCACGUAAUGGUGGGAACUCUAAGGAGACCGCCGGUGACAAACCGGAGGAAGGUGGGGAUGACGUCAAGUCAUCAUGGCCCUUACGACCAGGGCUACACACGUACUACAAUGGUAGGGACAGAGGGCUGCAAACCCGCGAGGGCAAGCCAAUCCCAGAAACCCUAUCUCAGUCCGGAUUGGG
This 1170-nucleotide ribosomal RNA is filed under the name Xanthomonas oryzae pv. oryzae. RNAcentral describes it as "bacterial SSU rRNA". It matches the Rfam family "Bacterial small subunit ribosomal RNA", at positions 137 to 1302 of the family's 1533-position model. Lineage: Bacteria; Pseudomonadati; Pseudomonadota; Gammaproteobacteria; Lysobacterales; Lysobacteraceae. The record is from RNAcentral.